AAAGUCGUAACAAGGUUUCCGUAGGUGAACCUGCGGAAGGAUCAUUAAAAGUAAUAAGUACUCUGUACUCAUUAUAAACCCAUCUGCGUAUCUUACCCGUUGCUUCCGUGGCGUGCGGUCGCUUGGCUCAGGCCCUGCGGCCCUCCCCCACGGGAGGUAUGCAUCAAACCAUUGCAUUGCCAUGAUCUCAGUCUGAAAUGUAAACAACAAAAGUUAAAACUUUCAACAACGGAUCUCUUGGUUCUC
RNAcentral lists this unclassified non-coding RNA (246 nucleotides) under Ascomycota sp. RNAcentral's name for it is "partial contains small subunit ribosomal RNA, internal transcribed spacer 1, and 5.8S ribosomal RNA". The stretch from base 1 to 47 matches the Rfam family "Eukaryotic small subunit ribosomal RNA", at positions 1785 to 1831 of the family's 1831-position model. The record is from RNAcentral. Lineage: Eukaryota; Fungi; Ascomycota.